This 515-nucleotide ribosomal RNA is filed under the name uncultured bacterium. Its description in RNAcentral is "partial 16S ribosomal RNA". It matches the Rfam family "Bacterial small subunit ribosomal RNA", at positions 28 to 523 of the family's 1533-position model. The record is from RNAcentral.
GAUGAACGCUGGCGGCGUGCCUAAUACAUGCAAGUCGAGCGAAUGGAUUAAGAGCUUGCUCUUAUGAAGUUAGCGGCGGACGGGUGAGUAACACGUGGGUAACCUGCCCAUAAGACUGGGAUAACUCCGGGAAACCGGGGCUAAUACCGGAUAACAUUUUGAACCGCAUGGUUCGAAAUUGAAAGGCGGCUUCGGCUGUCACUUAUGGAUGGACCCGCGUCGCAUUAGCUAGGUGGUGAGGUAACGGCUCACCAAGGCAACGAUGCGUAGCCGACCUGGGAGGGUGAUGGGCCACACUGGGACUGAGACACGGCCCAGACUCCUACGGGAGGCAGCAGUAGGGAAUCUUCCGCAAUGGACGAAAGUCUGACGGAGCAACGCCGCGUGAGUGAUGAAGGCUUUCGGGUCGUAAAACUCUGUUGUUAGGGAAGAACAAGUGCUAGUUGAAUAAGCUGGCACCUUGACGGUGCCUAACCAGAAAGCCACGGCUAACUACGUGCCAGCAGCCGCCGUAA